Molecule: non-coding RNA, 115 nt
Organism: Danio rerio (zebrafish)
Lineage: Eukaryota; Metazoa; Chordata; Actinopteri; Cypriniformes; Danionidae
Source: Rfam
GCCGGCAGCUAGCUCUCUGCAACUCUCACAUGGUCGCCCACUGAAGCUAAGCAGGGCUGCGCCCGGUCAGUACCUGGAUGGGAGACCACUUGGGAAAGCUAGGUUGCUGCCGGAA